CAAGUCGAGCGCACCCUUCGGGGCGAGCGGCGGACGGGUUAGUAACGCGUGGGAACAUACCCUUCUCUACGGAAUAGCCUCGGGAAACUGAGAGUAAUACCGUAUACGCCCUUCGGGGGAAAGAUUUAUCGGAGAAGGAUUGGCCCGCGUUAGAUUAGAUAGUUGGUGGGGUAAUGGCCUACCAAGUCUACGAUCUAUAGCUGGUUUUAGAGGAUGAUCAGCAACACUGGGACUGAGACACGGCCCAGACUCCUACGGGAGGCAGCAGUGGGGAAUCUUAGACAAUGGGCGCAAGCCUGAUCUAGCCAUGCCGCGUGUGUGAUGAAGGUCUUAGGAUCGUAAAGCACUUUCGCCAGAGAUGAUAAUGACAGUAUCUGGUAAAGAAACCCCGGCUAACUCCGUGCCAGCAGCCGCGGUAAUACGGAGGGGGUUAGCGUUGUUCGGAAUUACUGGGCGUAAAGCGUACGUAGGCGGAUCAGAAAGUAGGGGGUGAAAUCCCAGGGCUCAACCCUGGAACUGCCUCCUAAACUCCUGGUCUUGAGUUCGAGAGAGGUGAGUGGAAUUCCAAGUGUAGAGGUGAAAUUCGUAGAUAUUUGGAGGAACACCAGUGGCGAAGGCGGCUCACUGGCUCGAUACUGACGCUGAGGUACGAAAGUGUGGGGAGCAAACAGGAUUAGAUACCCUGGUAG
RNAcentral lists this ribosomal RNA (689 nucleotides) under uncultured bacterium. Its description in RNAcentral is "bacterial SSU rRNA". It matches the Rfam family "Bacterial small subunit ribosomal RNA", at positions 58 to 793 of the family's 1533-position model. The record is from RNAcentral.